Molecule: long non-coding RNA, 204 nt
Filed under: Carica papaya (papaya)
Lineage: Eukaryota; Viridiplantae; Streptophyta; Magnoliopsida; Brassicales; Caricaceae
Description: long non-coding RNA (CPAP_LNC000101)
Source: RNAcentral
GUUAUUCUUCCCUUGAAAGGCUUGUAUCUUGAACUUGAAGUCAUUAAGGUCUCCCUUUGCCUCUUUACGAUGGCCUCCCUAUGUCUCACCAAUAUUGUCGCCACAUGAUCUUGUCUCGUUGCACACUAUUUCGCGUUAGGCAUGACUGCAGUGCUUGCCUCAUUCCUGGCGAUCCAAACGGGUGGUCAUAUUUCCCAAUUGGAC